RNAcentral lists this ribosomal RNA (253 nucleotides) under uncultured bacterium. RNAcentral describes it as "partial 16S ribosomal RNA". It matches the Rfam family "Bacterial small subunit ribosomal RNA", at positions 524 to 776 of the family's 1533-position model. The record is from RNAcentral.
UACGUAGGGAGCAAGCGUUGUCCGGAAUCACUGGGCGUAAAGGGCGCGUAGGCGGCGCGGGAAGUCCGUGGUGAAAGCCCGAGGCUCAACUUCGGGUCGGCCAUGGAUACUCCUGGGCUUGAGCACUGUAGAGGCAGGUGGAAUUCCGGGUGUAGCGGUGGAAUGCGUAGAGAUCCGGAAGAACACCGGUGGCGAAGGCGGCCUGCUGGGCAGUAGCUGACGCUGAGGCGCGACAGCGUGGGGAGCAAACAGG